Molecule: long non-coding RNA, 248 nt
Filed under: Capsicum annuum
Lineage: Eukaryota; Viridiplantae; Streptophyta; Magnoliopsida; Solanales; Solanaceae
Description: long non-coding RNA (CANN_LNC002522)
Source: RNAcentral
UUUAAAGUACUUAUUUUGUAUGCACUAAAGGAUAUAAAAGUAGUAGAUAUAAGAAAAAUCAUAUUAGAAAAAGCAUUUGGUAAAUAUUAUAUGACUAGAGUAAAUUACAUACCAUACCUACCUAACUACUCUUACAAAUACUUACCAUGAUAAAUUACAUAGAAUUUUUGGAAAAAGAUAUGAGAAACAUACAGUUAAUAGAAAAACAGAUGAAAGUAAAUUUAGACAAAUACAUGGAAACUAAAGAU